GUCUACGGCCAUACCACCCUGAACGCGUCCGAUCUCGGCUGAUCUCGGAAGCUAAGCAGGGUCGGGCCUGGUUAGUACUUGGAUGGGAGAGAGUAGGUAAGGCAGAGA
RNAcentral lists this ribosomal RNA (108 nucleotides) under Neogale vison (American mink). The record is from RNAcentral. Lineage: Eukaryota; Metazoa; Chordata; Mammalia; Carnivora; Mustelidae.